UCAGCUCUCUGAUUUCUUCUCCCUUCGCCCACAGCACCCACAGUUCAGGGGAACCCCCCAAAUCCUACUCCAGCACCAUGAGUUUGGAGACAGACUCCAUAACCCACCUCAGCCCCUCAAGUUCAGGGGCAACCCCUACCAUCCAGCCGAGCCCCAGCUCCACAGAUUCAAGGAUGAUACCCUCCUCCCCACAACCAGAGACAAUCACGCACCCUAGUUCUGGCUCCCCCAGUGCAGAGCUCACCCCCUCUUCCCAUUCCACCCUCCCCAGUUCCGAAUCCCUGACCCCGCACUGGAGCCCCACUUCCCACAGCCCCGGAACGGAGCCCUUGACCUCCACUGACCAGACCUUGGAGCCCCCUGGCCCAGCUCCAGGUGACACUGGGCCCCGUGAGUUACACAGGAACCCGAGUGUGGUGGUGGUCGUGUGUUUGCUGGUGUCUCUUUUGCUCAUCGGGUCUGUGGUCAUGGCUGUGAGAUUCUGUCACCGGAAUGAGUCCAAGUUUGAGAACCUGGACGAGGUGUCCAUGGUAAGGUAGGGCUGGGCUGGGGGCUCAGCCCUGGGGCCAAGGCAUGGUUGGGGGAGCUGCUAUCCCAAGCAGGGCCAACCUGGGCUGCAGAGCCUUUUGGUGUCUGAAUGCCUCCCUGUGUGUUCCUUCCUCAGGGAUCCGUGAAUGACAGAUUGUCCUUUGCCC
Molecule: long non-coding RNA, 695 nt
Filed under: Homo sapiens (human)
Lineage: Eukaryota; Metazoa; Chordata; Mammalia; Primates; Hominidae
Description: non-protein coding lnc-IQCN-1:2
Source: RNAcentral